AUGCGUCCGGAGUCAGCCCUGGAUUCCAAUCCUGGCUCUGCCACGUGGACGGUGACCUGUCGGAAAAUGGAGAGCCCGGUGCCCAACCUGCAGCCCAGCUCAGUGGUCACGAAAGGGUCUGGGGGGCAGGGGCGGCAGAUGGAAAACGGGUGCGGCUCUUUCCUUCAUCUGUCUGCGCACGGACUUCCCCAAGGUCCCCCCUCAGUGCACCCCCUUUUCUCCUCUUUGCCCUCCUGGCUUAAGUGCGUUGGUCUCUUACUGGGUGCCCCCACAGCAUCCCAUGGAUCCCAGAUGGAUGAACAGAUGACUGGAUGGACUCAAAACUCCCGAGGUCUGACCCACGGGAGGUGCUCGGCCAAUGCCGCCCCUCCCCUGGCCCCUUGGCGGCGGGGGGGGGGGGGACACGGCGGGCCGGCCACUGCUACUCAAGUCCUGGAAGCAGCCCAGAUGGGAAGCAGAAGUGCCCCGGGGUGCCCUGGCAAUCAGGCCAGAUCCCCCGUGGGGCGCGCUGGGACCGGCGCGGGGCCCAGCCGCCCUCCCGCUGCGACGCGCAUGCUCCAUGCCCCCCACCCGCCGCGCUUGGUUCCCACGCCGCCGCCACCGCCGCCGCUGCCGCCCCGGCCCCGCCCGCUCCCCGCCCACCUCCAGGCCCUGCUCCUGGCUCUAGACAGAAGAGGACGGACAGCCUCGCAGAACGCGCCUCCUGAGAGCGGCGCCCAGCUGGCAAGGGAGCCCCCGGAAGGGGCCGUUAUCCAUCCAACCCAUGCCCGGCGCGGGCUCCUGCUGUCGUCUGAGAGCCUCUGCACAGUCACCCUCCAGGCCCCCACUGCCUUUGACUCCUCUUUCCUUCACGCCAGCAUCUCAUCAAGGACUUUGUUACACUUGACCAUUGGCCGUCUGGUUAUCUUUUCAUCUGAAGCAGCCUCUCUCCCCGGCCUCGUCUUUUCCCCCUGGCGCUGA
Molecule: long non-coding RNA, 960 nt
Filed under: Felis catus (domestic cat)
Lineage: Eukaryota; Metazoa; Chordata; Mammalia; Carnivora; Felidae
Description: lncRNA (ENSFCAG00000048322.1)
Source: RNAcentral